AUGACUCUGCGGAACUCGUGAUUCGGAUAGAAUGCCGGGGCGAGCCAACACUUUACAAAAGGGAGCAUGAUGAAGUGGCGUGGAAGUGUUAGCCCUGGCCUCGGCCGGGGCAAGACGGAAGCGCCCAGUCAGCACCCACCUGCUUACGCAGGUUCGUACCCACUGUCCACACGGUUCUGCGGAGUCUAU
This 189-nucleotide non-coding RNA is filed under the name Litorilinea aerophila. RNAcentral's name for it is "6S / SsrS RNA". It matches the Rfam family "6S / SsrS RNA". Rfam says of the family: E. coli 6S RNA was the first non coding RNA to be sequenced, but its function was unknown until recently. It consists of 184 nucleotides that fold into an extended hairpin structure with a large single-stranded internal bulge. The 6S RNA specifically associates with RNA polymerase holoenzyme containing the sigma70 specificity factor. The record is from Rfam by way of RNAcentral. Lineage: Bacteria; Bacillati; Chloroflexota; Caldilineae; Caldilineales; Caldilineaceae.